Molecule: ribosomal RNA, 443 nt
Filed under: Soliella melanospinis
Lineage: Eukaryota; Metazoa; Arthropoda; Malacostraca; Decapoda; Xanthidae
Description: partial 16S ribosomal RNA
Rfam family: Archaeal large subunit ribosomal RNA
Source: RNAcentral
AAAGGUAGCAUAAUCAUUAGGGGUUUAAUUGGAACCUGGAAUGAAGGGUCGGACAAAGGAAAAACUGUCUAUUGGGCUUAAUUUGAAGUUUACUUUUAAGUGAGAAGGCUUAAAUAUAUCAAAGGGACGAUAAGACCCUAUAAAGCUUUAUAAAUNACUUAAAUCUANUUGAUUUAGAUAAUAAAAGUUAAGUUUAAUUAUUUUAUUUUAUUGGGGNGAUAUGAGUAUAAUUUGAGCUAACUGCUUACAAAAAAUUCUUAUAUAAAAGGUUUCAAAGAAUGAAUGAUCCUUUUUAAAGAUUAAAAAACUAAGUUACUUUAGGGAUAACAGCGUUAUUUCUUUUGAGAGUUCAUAUCGAAAAAGAAGAUUGCGACCUCGAUGUUGAAUUAAAAUAUCUAUAUAGUGCAGCCGUUAUAAAAGAGGGUCUGUUCGACCUUUAAAUU